UGUCACCAAGGUCAGGCUGACAGGCCUGUAGAUCCCUGGAUCCUCCUUAUUACCCUUCUUAUAGUUGAUUGUCACAUUAGCAAGUCUUCAAUCAUCUAGGACCUCUCUGGUUGACCAGGAAUGCUGAUAGACAGUGGAAAGCGGCUUGGCAAUCAUGUCCGCCAGAUCCUUCAGCACCCUCUGGUGGAUCCUAUCUGUCCCCAUGGACUUCUGAUAGUCCAGGUAGAGUCACUCACUGCCUACUGUUCAAGUCCCUUCCACCUCCAACACCCCUUCAUGAAAUCUGGCGCUGGCAGAAGGCUGUCAAACAUGUAUGUGACUUAGAAGCCAAACAGACUACACAAGCUUGACUUUCCAUUACUUCACAUGGAUUUAAUACAGCUGUAAAUCAAAGCAACAGAGCCAUAAAAAUAAAAUAAAAUAUGGUUAAA
Phasianus colchicus (ring-necked pheasant) is the source of this 431-nucleotide long non-coding RNA. RefSeq lists it as uncharacterized. NCBI's taxonomy places the organism in Eukaryota, Metazoa, Chordata, Aves, Galliformes, Phasianidae. The record is from RefSeq and is a predicted model, not a curated record.